Molecule: ribosomal RNA, 254 nt
Filed under: uncultured bacterium
Lineage: Bacteria
Description: partial 16S ribosomal RNA
Rfam family: Bacterial small subunit ribosomal RNA
Source: RNAcentral
UACGUAGGGUGCGAGCGUUGUCCGGAAUUAUUGGGCGUAAAGAGCUCGUAGGCGGUGUGUCACGUCGAUCGUGAAAACUUGGGGCUUAACUCUGAGCUUGCGGUCGAUACGGGCAUCACUGGAGUUCGGCAGGGGAGACUGGAAUUCCUGGUGUAGCGGUGAAAUGCGCAGAUAUCAGGAGGAAUACCGAUGGCGAAGGCAGGUCUCUGGGCUAGAACUGACGCUCAUGCACGAAAGCGUGGGGAGCAAACAGG